This 336-nucleotide unclassified non-coding RNA is filed under the name soil metagenome. Its description in RNAcentral is "partial contains 5.8S ribosomal RNA, internal transcribed spacer 2, and large subunit ribosomal RNA". The stretch from base 1 to 119 matches the Rfam family "5.8S ribosomal RNA", at positions 35 to 154 of the family's 154-position model. The record is from RNAcentral.
GAUGAAGAACGCAGCGAAAUGCGAUAAGUAGUGUGAAUUGCAGAAUUCAGUGAAUCAUCGAAUCUUUGAACGCACAUUGCGCCCCUUGGUAUUCCAUGGGCAUGCCUGUUCGAGCGUCAUUUGUACCUUCAAGCUCUGCUUGGUGUUGGGUGUUUGUCUCGCCUCUGCGUGUAGACUCGCCUCAAAACAAUUGGCAGCCGGCGUAUUGAUUUCGGAGCGCAGUACAUCUCGCGCUUUGCACUCAUAACGACGACGUCCAAAAGUACAUUUUUACACUCUUGACCUCGGAUCAGGUAGGGAUACCCGCUGAACUUAAGCAUAUCAAUAAGCGGAGGA